AUAAAAUAUAAUUUUUUAUUAGUAGGUAUUGCAUACCGUUUAAGGAAAAUUUUAUAAAAAUAAAAUAUAGAAUUAAAAGGUAGAAUUUUUAUUAUUUUUAUUGUUUCAUAAUAAAAAUUAUAAAAUUUAGGGUUGAAAAGUCGACUUUUAAGAUAUCUGUUUAUAUUGUUAGUUUAUUAGAAAUUUGUAUAUAAAAAGAAAUUUGUAUAUAAAAAGUAAAAGUUGAAGUAUUUAUUUAUUUAGUUUUAUAACUGUUUAUAAUUAUUUAUUGGAAUUAUUGUUAAAAAGGAAUAAAAAUUAUUAAGUUGUUAAUAAUUAAAUUAUUUUAAAAUAAGUAUGUUAAUUAAAUUAUUUAUUAUUUUAUAAUUUAACAAAAUAAUUAAAAGUUUAUUCAAAUGUUUAUUAAAGACUUAGACUUUUAAAUAAAGUUUGCUUCUGCCCAAUGUUUAUUAUUAAAUGGCACUCUUAGCGU
Molecule: ribosomal RNA, 472 nt
Filed under: Cyathostomum catinatum
Lineage: Eukaryota; Metazoa; Nematoda; Chromadorea; Rhabditida; Strongylidae
Description: partial large subunit ribosomal RNA
Source: RNAcentral